RNAcentral lists this ribosomal RNA (495 nucleotides) under uncultured bacterium. RNAcentral describes it as "partial 16S ribosomal RNA". It matches the Rfam family "Bacterial small subunit ribosomal RNA", at positions 28 to 507 of the family's 1533-position model. The record is from RNAcentral.
GACGAACGCUGGCGGCGUGCCUAAUACAUGCAAGUAGAACGCUGAAGGAGGAGCUUGCUUCUCUGGCUGAGUUGCGAACGGGUGAGUAACGCGUAGGUAACCUGCCUGGUAGCGGGGGAUAACUAUUGGAAACGAUAGCUAAUACCGCAUAAUAGUAGAUGUUGCAUGACAUUUGCUUAAAAGGUGCAAUUGCAUCACUACCAGAUGGACCUGCGUUGUAUUAGCUAGUUGGUGAGGUACCGGCUCACCAAGGCGACGAUACAUAGCCGACCUGAGAGGGUGAUCGGCCAAACUGGGACUGAGACACGGCCCAGACUCCUACGGGAGGCAGCAGUAGGGAAUCUUCGGCAAUGGACGGAAGUCUGACCGAGCAACGCCGCGUGAGGGAAGAAGGUUUUCGGAGCGUAAAGCUCUGUUGUAAGAGAAGAACGAGUGUGAGAGUGGAAAGUUCACACUGUGACGGUAUCUUACCAGAAAGGGACGGCUAACUACGUG